GAUAGCUGCAGUUGAGCGUCCCAGCAAUGGGGAGCAGCGUAAGGGGCAGUAAGGCAUGGGUAUCUACCCGGGGAUCGGGCAUAGCCUGUAGAGAUACAGGGUAAUUCCCGAUGAUGUCGCAAGACCAAAGCUCCGGCGUCCCUGGAGGAGCCCAUGUGAUAUUAGCUAGUUGGUGGGGUAACGGCCUACCAAGGCGAAGAUGUCUAGCGGGUGUGAGAGCACGACCCGCGCCACUGGCACUGAGACACUGGCCAGACACCUACGGGUGGCUGCAGUCGAGGAUCUUCGGCAAUGGGCGCAAGCCUGACCGAGCGAGGCCGCGUGGGCGAUGAAGGCCUUCGGGUUGUAAAGCCCUGUCGAGGGGGAGAAAAGCCGCAAGGCGUGAUCUAUCCCUGGAGGAAGCACGGGCUAAGUUCGUGCCAGCAGCCGCGGUAAGACGAACCGUGCGAACGUUGUUCGGAAUCACUGGGCUUAAAGGGCGCGUAGGCGGGCUAUCAAGUCCGGGGUGAAAUCCUCCAGCUCAACUGGAGAACUGCCUCGGAUACUGAUGGUCUCGAGGAGGAUAGGGGCACACGGAACUGUGGGUGGAGCGGUGAAAUGCGUUGAUAUCCAUAGGAACUCCGGUGGCGAAAGCGGUGUGCUGGAUCCUUUCUGACGCUGAGGCGCGAAAGCCAGGGGAGCAAACGGGAUUAGAUACCCCGGUAGUCCUGGCCCUAAACGUUGGGUACUAGGUAGUAGACUAGACAUGGGUUUACUUCCGAAGCAAAAGUGCUAAGUACCCCGCCUGGGGAGUAUGGUCGCAAGGCUGAAACUCAAAGGAAUUGACGGGGGCUC
Molecule: ribosomal RNA, 834 nt
Filed under: uncultured bacterium
Lineage: Bacteria
Description: bacterial SSU rRNA
Rfam family: Bacterial small subunit ribosomal RNA
Source: RNAcentral